RNAcentral lists this long non-coding RNA (1569 nucleotides) under Mus musculus (house mouse). RNAcentral describes it as "long non-coding RNA chr16:40780261-40781830". The record is from RNAcentral. Lineage: Eukaryota; Metazoa; Chordata; Mammalia; Rodentia; Muridae.
GGUGGGCAACGACUGUCAUGAUUCUUAGUUGGCAUAAGAAGCACCAGAUCACUGUGGCUAGCACCAUUCCCUAGGCAGGUAGUGUUCAUAUGUAUAAGAAAGCUAGUUAAGUGUGUGUCUGCCAAGUGAGUCAGCUUGCAACAUUCCUCUAUGGUUUCUCUUUAAGUCCUUGCUUGAGACACCUGAUUUCAUCACUCCUUCAAUGAUAAACCAUAACCCGUUAGCUGAAAGAAACUUUUAUCUUCUAAAUUGCUUUUAGUCAGAGUUGUUUUCAUUUGCUUCUUUGUUUUGUCGUUCUUUUUCAUCCCAGAAAAAUAGGAAUAAAACUAGAAUACGUAUGUAGCAGUUCACUGAAUUUGGGGUAUUCUUAAAAAGUACAAAAGGUAACUUGAUGUAAUGAUCAAAUGCCAACUUCUUAAUUAGUGACUUCCUUUGCUAUAACAGAAUCAAUGAAGGAUGAACGAUAUCCUCAUGUGUAGUAGAAAUUACUAUUUCUGAAAUAUAUCUUCACUGACAUGAGGUUUCCUUAUUUCCCCCCCAAAGGUGUUUUUCAUAUAUUCAGUGAAAACAAGAUUCACCUUUCAAAGAUAUGUCCAUUGCCUAACCCUCUCCAGUGAGGCCAGCUUUUCUGUUUUUUACCACCUCUCAAUAGUCCAAUUAAAAACCUAUCAGUGGAUAAAUCCUUUGACUAGAUUGGAGUCCUUGGGAUCCAAUAAUUUUGCAAACUCCUCACCUUUGAACAAUACAUGUGGAAUGUUGCAUCUCAUAUAUCGAAUCCAUGUUAGGAUUACAAUUAUGUAAAUUAUAUACAUGAAAAUGUAGGGAUAAUGAUGAGAAGAUAUAGAAAGAUUGUAGACAUUCUCAUUUUUAGCUGGAGAGUGCAGAGUCAUGAAACAUAGUAGCAUUUGGUGUCAGCUGUAGGAGCAGGGCUCUAGGUACAGAGAUGGCUGUAUUUCUAUCUGUACUGUGUUUCUCUAGGAAGAUGCAGCAACUCCAGUGAGAUGCUGACAUCUGUUAGGUUUGAUGACAACUUCGUUGUCUGUUGUCAGUUAUAGUUUUAUCUGCAAUUUUCCACAUGUUUGUCAUGUUUUAUAUUUUAGACGAUUAGUCUUGGAAGUUGUAAAGAUAACCACUAAGUAGAAUUAAAAAUAUAUUACAUGCCAUUCUAUCACUUAAAAUGAGAACAAGGGGAUACCUAAAAUGUAUGAAAGAAAACUUUACAAAUUACAGAAAAAAAUAUGAGAAUGAACUAGAACAAAUAAGACUUUAAUACAAGAUAACAAAACUACAAUCUUUGCUCUAUCUUGAACAUAUCUUUAGUGAGUUCGACCUCUGAAUCAGUCAGCACUAAUUACGAAUUCCUUAUUAAUGUGUGCCUGAGAUGAUGCUGUAUGCUGUCUUUCAUGCUUUCAAUGUUUUAAGGCCCUUAGUUUUCAUGUCAGUUCAGAACGAAGUCAUAUUAUUAUCUGGGAUUUUUUUUCCACUGACUGAAUGAACAAAAUAAUUAAGAGGUAAAAAUGUGUUUUUAAAAGAUGAAGUGUUCUAGUAGACAGUCACUUCUUUUGUCUG